GCUGACGAGUGGCGGACGGGUGAGUAAUGUUUGGGAAACUGCCUGAUGGAGGGGGAUAACUACUGGAAACGGUAGCUAAUACCGCAUAACGUCGCAAGACCAAAGAGGGGGACCUUCGGGCCUCUUGCCAUCGGAUGUGCCCAGAUGGGAUUAGCUUGUUGGUGGGGUAACGGCUCACCAAGGCGACGAUCCCUAGCUGGUCUGAGAGGAUGACCAGCCACACUGGAACUGAGACACGGUCCAGACUCCUACGGGAGGCAGCAGUGGGGAAUAUUGCACAAUGGGCGCAAGCCUGAUGCAGCCAUGCCGCGUGUAUGAAGAAGGCCUUCGGGUUGUAAAGUACUUUCAGCGGGGAGGAAGGGAGUAAAGUUAAUACCUUUGCUCAUUGACGUUACCCGCAGAAGAAGCACCGGCUAACUCCGUGCCAGCAGCCGCGGUAAUACGGAGGGUGCAAGCGUAAUCGGA
This 465-nucleotide ribosomal RNA is filed under the name Escherichia coli. RNAcentral describes it as "bacterial SSU rRNA". It matches the Rfam family "Bacterial small subunit ribosomal RNA", at positions 87 to 549 of the family's 1533-position model. The record is from RNAcentral. Lineage: Bacteria; Pseudomonadati; Pseudomonadota; Gammaproteobacteria; Enterobacterales; Enterobacteriaceae.